UGUACAGGGAAGUGAUGUUGGAGAAC
Molecule: non-coding RNA, 26 nt
Filed under: Homo sapiens (human)
Lineage: Eukaryota; Metazoa; Chordata; Mammalia; Primates; Hominidae
Source: RNAcentral